UACGUAGGGGGCAAGCGUUGUCCGGAAUUAUUGGGCGUAAAGCGCGUGUAGGCGGUUCGGUAAGUCUGCUGUGAAAGUCCAGGGCUCAACCCUGGAAUGCCGGUGGAAACUGUCGAGCUAGAGUCCGGAAGAGGCGAGUGGAAUUCCUGGUGUAGCGGUGAAAUGCGCAGAUAUCAGGAGGAACACCAAUGGCGAAGGCAGCUCGCUGGGACGGUACUGACGCUGAGGAACGAAAGCGUGGGGAGCGAACAGG
Molecule: ribosomal RNA, 253 nt
Filed under: uncultured bacterium
Lineage: Bacteria
Description: partial 16S ribosomal RNA
Rfam family: Bacterial small subunit ribosomal RNA
Source: RNAcentral